UCCUUGGUGGUUCAGUGGUUAAGACUCUGAGCUUCCACUGCAGGAAGCACAGGUUCAAUCCCUGUUCCAGAAG
This 73-nucleotide transfer RNA is filed under the name Bos taurus (domestic cattle). It matches the Rfam family "tRNA". Rfam says of the family: Transfer RNA (tRNA) molecules are approximately 80 nucleotides in length. Their secondary structure includes four short double-helical elements and three loops (D, anti-codon, and T loops). The record is from Rfam by way of RNAcentral. Lineage: Eukaryota; Metazoa; Chordata; Mammalia; Artiodactyla; Bovidae. RNAcentral also lists the same sequence under 3 other names.